Molecule: ribosomal RNA, 422 nt
Filed under: uncultured bacterium
Lineage: Bacteria
Description: bacterial SSU rRNA
Rfam family: Bacterial small subunit ribosomal RNA
Source: RNAcentral
UGGGGAAUAUUGGACAAUGGGCGCAAGCCUGAUCCAGCCAUGCCGCGUGGAUGAUGAAUGCCCUCUGGGUUGUAAACUUCUUUUAUAGGGGAAGAAAGAUACUUUUCUUAAGGUAGUUGACGGUACCCUAUGAAUAAGCACCGGCUAACUCCGUGCCAGCAGCCGCGGUAAUACGGAGGGUGCAAGCGUUAUCCGGAUUUACUGGGUUUAAAGGGUGCGUAGGCGGGCAUGUAAGUCAGUGGUGAAAUACCGGAGCUUAACUUCGGAACUGCCAUUGAUACUAUAUGUCUUGAAUAUUGUGGAGGUUAGCGGAAUAUGUCAUGUAGCGGUGAAAUGCAUAGAUAUGACAUAGAACACCGAUUGCGGAGGCAGCUUGCUACGCAAAUAUUGACGCUGAGGCACGAAAGCGUGGGGAUCAAACA